RNAcentral lists this ribosomal RNA (598 nucleotides) under uncultured bacterium. RNAcentral's name for it is "bacterial SSU rRNA". The stretch from base 1 to 517 matches the Rfam family "Bacterial small subunit ribosomal RNA", at positions 338 to 873 of the family's 1533-position model. The record is from RNAcentral.
CCUACGGGAGGCAGCAGUGGGGAAUCUUGCGCAAUGGGCGAAAGCCUGACGCAGCCAUGCCGCGUGAAUGAUGAAGGUCUUAGGAUUGUAAAAUUCUUUCACCGGGGACGAUAAUGACGGUACUCGGAGAAGAAGCCCCGGCUAACUUCGUGCCAGCAGCCGCGGUAAUACGAAGGGGGCUAGCGUUGCUCGGAAUUACUGGGCGUAAAGGGAGCGUAGGCGGAUAGUUUAGUCAGAGGUGAAAGCCCAGGGCUCAACCUUGGAAUUGCCUUUGAUACUGGCUAUCUUGAGUACGGAAGAGGUAUGUGGAACUCCGAGUGUAGAGGUGAAAUUCGUAGAUAUUCGGAAGAACACCAGUGGCGAAGGCGACAUACUGGUCCGUUACUGACGCUGAGGCUCGAAAGCGUGGGGAGCAAACAGGAUUAGAUACCCUGGUAGUCCACGCUGUAAACGAUGAGUGCUAGUUGUCGGCAUGNAUGCAUGUCGGUGACGCAGCUACGCAUAAGUACACUCCGCCGUCGGGUAGGUACGGUCGCGAGAGUAAACUAACAANAGAGUAGACGCGUGAGAGNGCGACGACGACGACGACGGGAGGAGG